AGAGUUUGAUCCUGGCUCAGAUCGAACGCUGGCGGAAUGCUUUACACAUGCAAGUCGAACGGCAGCACGGACUUCGGUCUGGUGGCGAGUGGCGAACGGGUGAGUAAUAUAUCGGAACGUGCCCAGUCGUGGGGGAUAACGUAGUGAAAAUUACGCUAAUACCGCAUACGAUCUAAGGAUGAAAGCGGGGGAUCGCAAGACCUCGCGCGAUUGGAGCGGCCGAUAUCAGAUUAGGUAGUUGGUGAGGUAAAGGCUCACCAAGCCAACGAUCUGUAGCUGGUCUGAGAGGACGACCAGCCACACUGGAACUGAGACACGGUCCAGACUCCUACGGGAGGCAGCAGUGGGGAAUUUUGGACAAUGGACGCAAGUCUGAUCCAGCCAUUCCGCGUGCAGGACGAAGGCCUUCGGGUUGUAAACUGCUUUUGUACAGAACGAAAAGGUCUCUAUUAAUACUAGGGGCUCAUGACGGUACUGUAAGAAUAAGCACCGGCUAACUACGUGCCAGCAGCCGCGGUAAUACGUAGGGUGCAAGCGUUAAUCGGAAUUACUGGGCGUAAAGCGUGCGCAGGCGGUUAUAUAAGACAGAUGUGAAAUCUCCGGGCUCAACCUGGGAACUGCAUUUGUGACUGUAUAGCUGGAGUGCGGCAGAGGGGGAUGGAAUUCCGCGUGUAGCAGUGAAAUGCGUAGAUAUGCGGAGGAACACCGAUGGCGAAGGCAAUCCCCUGGGCCUGCACUGACGCUCAUGCACGAAAGCGUGGGGAGCAAACAGGAUUAGAUACCCUGGUAGUCCACGC
This 797-nucleotide ribosomal RNA is filed under the name uncultured bacterium. RNAcentral's name for it is "bacterial SSU rRNA". It matches the Rfam family "Bacterial small subunit ribosomal RNA", at positions 8 to 800 of the family's 1533-position model. The record is from RNAcentral.